AAUAAAGUGCCUGAAAAAAGGAUUAUUUUGAUAGAAUAAAUUAUAUAAUAUUUAUUAUUAUCUUUAUUA
This 69-nucleotide transfer RNA is filed under the name Muscidifurax raptorellus. Its description in RNAcentral is "tRNA-Ile". Lineage: Eukaryota; Metazoa; Arthropoda; Insecta; Hymenoptera; Pteromalidae. The record is from RNAcentral.